ACGUUAGUCUAUUGAUGGUCCAAGUUAUUGGAUACUGCGGUAAUUCUGGAGCUAUACAUGCGUAAAAACCCGACUUCGCGGAGAGGGUCUUAUUUUUUAUAUACAGAACCAAUGCUUUCUAGCUUUUGUAUGAUUCCUAAUAAACGAACGAAUCGCAUUGCUUGCGCUGGCGCUAAAUCUAUCGAUUUUCUGAGCUCUCAACUUUCUACGGUAGGGUAUUGACCUACCCUGGCUUUUUUUGAUAACAAAGAAUUAAUGUUCGAUUCCUUACAGGGAGCCCGACAAAAAGCUACCACCUCUAACGAAGGCAGCAGGCGCGCACAUUACCCACUCCUGACACAAGGAGGUAGUGACAAAAAAUAACAAAAUAUGACCGCCUCCUUCCUACUAUUGUAAUGA
Molecule: ribosomal RNA, 399 nt
Filed under: uncultured marine picoeukaryote
Lineage: Eukaryota
Description: partial 18S ribosomal RNA
Rfam family: Eukaryotic small subunit ribosomal RNA
Source: RNAcentral